GCCACUAUAGCUCAGUUGGUAGAGCAGCUGAUUUGUAAUCAGCCGGUCGGAGGUUCGAGUCCCUCUAGUGGCUCC
This 75-nucleotide transfer RNA is filed under the name Flavobacteriales bacterium. RNAcentral's name for it is "tRNA-Thr". It matches the Rfam family "tRNA". Rfam says of the family: Transfer RNA (tRNA) molecules are approximately 80 nucleotides in length. Their secondary structure includes four short double-helical elements and three loops (D, anti-codon, and T loops). Lineage: Bacteria; Pseudomonadati; Bacteroidota; Flavobacteriia; Flavobacteriales. The record is from RNAcentral.